GGCGGCGACAGGGCGGCCGUCGGCGGUGGUGAUGCCGUUGUCGGCGAGCAGCGCGGGCGCGAGCGUCGGCUCGAUGCCGGCCGCCACCA
RNAcentral lists this transfer RNA (89 nucleotides) under Thauera sp. DNT-1. RNAcentral describes it as "tRNA-Ile". RNAcentral also lists the same sequence under 1 other name. Lineage: Bacteria; Pseudomonadati; Pseudomonadota; Betaproteobacteria; Rhodocyclales; Zoogloeaceae. The record is from RNAcentral.